This 483-nucleotide long non-coding RNA is filed under the name Ananas comosus (pineapple). RNAcentral describes it as "long non-coding RNA (ACOM_LNC033649)". The record is from RNAcentral. Lineage: Eukaryota; Viridiplantae; Streptophyta; Magnoliopsida; Poales; Bromeliaceae.
UAUUGAUUGACUCAAAUCUCAUAUCUAAGUAAAUUUUGAAAAAUUAGAUUUAUAUUUUUCGGUCUUAAAACUGUAACACGAGUAAGAUUUUAAUCAUCGGACUUUAAUGUGUUAUGAUUUAAACUAUGAGGCAUGUGAUAUUUUCAUCCUCAAACUUUAAUUAAUUGUAAUUUCUAACUUGAAAUAUGAGAUAUAUCAUUUUAGUCAUCAACCUUUAUUACUACUAUAAAUAUAAUUUAUUAUUCGUAUAAUUUUCGCCCUAUUUUUUUAAUCCUUUUUAUUAUUUUUAUAUUUUUAUUACAGUAAUAGUAGUUUAUCUCUCAAUUUUUUUUUAUAUUUAUAUAUAAUUCCUUAACUCUUUUUAUUUUAUUUUAUUUAUUUUUAUAUUUUUAUUACAGUAAUAGUUGUUUAUCCCUUAGUUAUUUUUUUUAUAUAAUUCCUUAACUCUUUUUAUUUUAUUUUAUUUAUUUAUUUUUACAGAAC